Molecule: non-coding RNA, 26 nt
Filed under: Rattus norvegicus (Norway rat)
Lineage: Eukaryota; Metazoa; Chordata; Mammalia; Rodentia; Muridae
Source: RNAcentral
UAGUCACCUAUAGUUCUUUGCCUAAG